GUGGGGAAUAUUGCACAAUGGGGGAAACCCUGAUGCAGCGACGCCGCGUGAGCGAAGAAGUAUUUCGGUAUGUAAAGCUCUAUCAGCAGGGAAGAAAAUGACGGUACCUGACUAAGAAGCCCCGGCUAACUACGUGCCAGCAGCCGCGGUAAUACGUAGGGGGCAAGCGUUAUCCGGAUUUACUGGGUAUAAAGGGAGCGUAGACGGAAUGGCAAGUCUGAUGUGAAAGGCCGGGGCUCAACCCCGGGACUGCAUUGGAAACUGUCAAUCUGGAGUACCGGAGGGGUAAGUGGAAUUCCUAGUGUAGCGGUGAAAUGCGUAGAUAUUAGGAGGAACACCAGUGGCGAAGGCGGCUUACUGGACGGUAACUGACGUUGAGGCUCGAAAGCGUGGGGAGCAAACAGGAUUAGAUACCCGAGUAGUCC
Molecule: ribosomal RNA, 425 nt
Filed under: uncultured bacterium
Lineage: Bacteria
Description: bacterial SSU rRNA
Rfam family: Bacterial small subunit ribosomal RNA
Source: RNAcentral